UACGUAGGGUGCAAGCGUUGUCCGGAAUUAUUGGGCGUAAAGAGCUCGUAGGCGGUUUGUCGCGUCGAAUGUGAAAACCCGGGGCUUAACCCCGAGCCUGCUUCUGAUACGGGCAGACUAGAGGUAUGCAGGGGAGAACGGAAUUCCUGGUGUAGCGGUGAAAUGCGCAGAUAUCAGGAGGAACACCGGUGGCGAAGGCGGGUCUCUGGGCCGAUACUGACGCUGAGGAGCGAAAGCGUGGGGAGCGAACAGG
This 253-nucleotide ribosomal RNA is filed under the name uncultured bacterium. RNAcentral describes it as "partial 16S ribosomal RNA". It matches the Rfam family "Bacterial small subunit ribosomal RNA", at positions 524 to 776 of the family's 1533-position model. The record is from RNAcentral.